AAACGGGCUCUCGAGCCGAUGUAAUACUCGCGCGGCUCAGAGCAGGCUACUUAAUCCAAACUUAAUUUAAAAUAGCAUAGCAGCCACCAAUAAGGAGGAGCGAGGAAGUGGACAGUCACCGGUUCACAAGAAGAAAACGAGACGCUGCUGCUGCUGCUGCUGCUGCUGCUGCUGCUAAGCUGGCACCGCCAAUCUUCAAGUUUGAGACAGGGGGGUUAAAAGGAGGAGCUUGUGCGGAAGAGGUUCGUGAAGCAGUUUUCCUGUAGUUCAGAUGAUGGUGAUGAUGAUUUCAAUUCUCGGAUAUUAUAGCCUUCAGCACCACAGAGCAUCAUCAUCAUCAUCAUCAGUGCCCUCCUACAGUAGGCCUACCCACACUGGCUGAGAGCUCUCCUGCUCCAUGAGCCCUCAUCCAACGCCAACACCUCUGUCUUCUCACAGCACAAAAGGAUGACAACGGAUAACAGCUUGCAAGCAUGUAUUCUGCUGCCCUGAUGACCCAUGAGCUGAACUCUUCUUCUGACAGGUCUCUGAUGAGCAAGUGUUCACACCAACAUGGCCCAGAUAAAAAUCACUUCCUUCCUCCAUUCUGGCAGCAGUUGCCUUGAAAAGACACACACAUGCUCUUUGGUGCAAAAGAGGAUAUUUAAACGCACACCAGUAGGCCUGAAGAUUUCCUGGAAAUGCCAAAGGGGUUGGCAUUUCAAAAAUAACAGAAAUGCUAGAAUAGGAGAAAAUGCAACAGACUUCCUGCUAUUGUUUGAACAUUACUCGGGAAGUCACAAUAAAUGGUGUCAGCUUUUUCUGAUGUGAUAGCCAAAUAAUCUCAUGACACUGUCCAUAACAACUGACUUUGCACUUUGAUAGUAAACUUGGAAUGGCAAAUUAACAUAAUCACCAUGCAAAUUCUGUAAUGAAACUAAUCCCCGACACAAAUAAGGCAAACGCGUGAUAGCUGUUUGUUCAAUUUUAACAGAAAUAUGUUGAUGCUGGGAGCACCAGAAUUUAAUCACUGCAAGCUGAUUAAAAACAGGAAGAUCUUCUCUUAAGCCCACUCAUUCUUUCAAUAUCACAAAUCCAAUUUUAUGUACAAAUAAGUUGAUUUACUGUGUUUGAUUUAUCUCUUUGUACUGAUGUAUUCCUCCACCUCCUUCUGCUGGCCCACUCUGGCUUGUAAAGAGCAUGUGUGCUGUGUGGGCCGGAUCACUCCGGAGUUUCUGUCUUGAACAGCGAGCAUUAGUCAUCCAGGUUGGUGGAUGAAGAGAACAAGUAGCUCAGGUGGGUGGACAUGCCCUCAUAUUGGAUUACAGAGAGGACUCAAAAACAAAGAACAAUGCCGGUGAGAUGAAAGGCUGAAAGACAGCAAUGUUUCUCUCAACGGGGCUUCAAAAAUAAAUGUAUGUUAGUGCAGCAUAUGCCUAAUAAAGAAGGUAUUAGUCCUGUCUUUGCACCUACUGUAAUACAAGAGUUUCUCAUUAAGCCAAUCAGAUGUUGCAUUUAACUUCAAAUCUAUGUAAUGCUCUAUGUAAUGGGUUUGUAUUCUUUCAUAACUUUCCUGGAAAACAUUUGGUACCUACUGUACAAAAGGGAAAAUAUGAAUUUUCUUGAAAUAAAGCGGGUGUUGACUUUGAAGACAUGGGU
Molecule: long non-coding RNA, 1638 nt
Organism: Perca flavescens (yellow perch)
Lineage: Eukaryota; Metazoa; Chordata; Actinopteri; Perciformes; Percidae
Exons: 3
Source: RefSeq, a predicted model, not a curated record